AAAGUCGUAACAAGGUUUCCGUAGGUGAACCUGCGGAAGGAUCAUUAAUGAGUUCAUGCCCUCACGGGUAGACCUCCACCCUUGCUUAUUAUAUACAUGUUGCUUUGGCGGAAGCUACUACCUCUUCUAUAGGGAUCAGUCGCCGCCGCCAGAGGACCCCAAACCCUGAAUAAUAGUGUCGUCUGAGUACUAUAUAAUAGUUAAAACUUUCAACAACGGAUCUCUUGGUUCUG
RNAcentral lists this unclassified non-coding RNA (233 nucleotides) under Ascomycota sp. Its description in RNAcentral is "partial contains small subunit ribosomal RNA, internal transcribed spacer 1, and 5.8S ribosomal RNA". The stretch from base 1 to 47 matches the Rfam family "Eukaryotic small subunit ribosomal RNA", at positions 1785 to 1831 of the family's 1831-position model. Lineage: Eukaryota; Fungi; Ascomycota. The record is from RNAcentral.